Molecule: transfer RNA, 81 nt
Organism: Pneumocystis murina B123
Lineage: Eukaryota; Fungi; Ascomycota; Pneumocystomycetes; Pneumocystales; Pneumocystaceae
Rfam family: tRNA
About the family: Transfer RNA (tRNA) molecules are approximately 80 nucleotides in length. Their secondary structure includes four short double-helical elements and three loops (D, anti-codon, and T loops). Further hydrogen bonds mediate the characteristic L-shaped molecular structure. tRNAs have two regions of fundamental functional importance: the anti-codon, which is responsible for specific mRNA codon recognition, and the 3' end, to which the tRNAs corresponding amino acid is attached (by aminoacyl-tRNA synthetases). tRNAs cope with the degeneracy of the genetic code in two manners: having more than one tRNA (with a specific anti-codon) for a particular amino acid; and 'wobble' base-pairing, i.e. permitting non-standard base-pairing at the 3rd anti-codon position.
Source: Rfam
GCCCGGCUAGCUCAAUCGGUAGAGCGUGAGACUCUUAUUCUAGGGAUCUCAAGGCUGUGGGUUCGACCCCCACGUUGGGCG